AAGGAUCAUUACUGAAAAACUAUUUUAAGUUUUUUAUAUCCCAUUGUUUACUUACCCUGUUGCUUUCACUGGACAGAUUUCACCUUGUGUGGGUCCUUUGGCUUGUGUGAAAUACCACUUGCCAAAGAGUUGCCAGUGGUAAGACCUAUUUAUCAAAACUUGAGUUUCAAUAAACACAACUGUCUGAAUAUUUUUUUUCUUUAAUGAAAUAAAACUUUCAACAACGGAUCUCUAGGCUCUUGCAUCGAUGAAGAACGCAGUGAAAUGCGAUAAGUAAUGUGAAUUGCAGAAUCUCGUGAAUCAUUGAAUCUUUGAACGCACAUUGCGCCCUAUGGUAUUCCAUUGGGCAUGCCUGUCUGAGCGUCAGCUCCCCCUCCACUCAAGAAUUAUUUUAUAUGAUACUUGGAUUACUUUGGAGAUGUAACUGUAUAUUAAGUUGCCCUCCAGAAAUUCAUUGGCAGUAUGGUUUGUACUUGGACCAGACGUAAUAGUAAUAAAAUCGUUUGUUUGGGUAUAAUUGAAUUGUACUUGCCUUAACCCCCACCCAUUUUUAUUUUGGGUGACCUCAGAUCAGGUAGGGAUACCCGCUGAACUUAAG
This 598-nucleotide ribosomal RNA is filed under the name Terfezia boudieri. Its description in RNAcentral is "eukaryotic LSU rRNA". The stretch from base 213 to 366 matches the Rfam family "5.8S ribosomal RNA". Lineage: Eukaryota; Fungi; Ascomycota; Pezizomycetes; Pezizales; Pezizaceae. The record is from RNAcentral.